UACGGGGGGGGCAAGCGUUGUUCGGAAUUACUGGGCGUAAAGGGCCCGUAGGCGGCCAACUAAGUCAGACGUGAAAUCCCCAGGCUCAACCUGGGAACUGCGUCUGAUACUGGAUGGCUUGAAUCCGGGAGAGGGAUGCAGAAUUCCAGGUGUAGCGGUGAAAUGCGUAGAUAUCUGGAGGAACACCGGUGGCGAAGGCGGCAUCCUGGACCGGCAUUGACGCUGAGGCGCGAAAGCUAGGGGAGCAAACGGG
RNAcentral lists this ribosomal RNA (253 nucleotides) under uncultured bacterium. RNAcentral's name for it is "partial 16S ribosomal RNA". It matches the Rfam family "Bacterial small subunit ribosomal RNA", at positions 524 to 776 of the family's 1533-position model. The record is from RNAcentral.